Molecule: small nuclear RNA, 108 nt
Organism: Ailuropoda melanoleuca (giant panda)
Lineage: Eukaryota; Metazoa; Chordata; Mammalia; Carnivora; Ursidae
Source: Ensembl
AUGGUGAAAAGGGCCCCAUAUAUACUAAAAUUGGGAGAACAGAAAAGAUUAUUGGCAUGGCCCCUGCACAAGGAGGACAUGCAAAUUAAUGAAGCAUUCCGUAUUUUU